Molecule: ribosomal RNA, 245 nt
Filed under: uncultured bacterium
Lineage: Bacteria
Description: partial small subunit ribosomal RNA
Rfam family: Bacterial small subunit ribosomal RNA
Source: RNAcentral
AGAAUCAGCGCUGGCGGCGUGCCUAACACAUGCAAGUCGCACGAGAAAGGGGAGCAAUCCCUGAGUAAAGUGGCGCACGGGUGAGUAACACGUGAAUAAUCUACCUCCGAGUGGGGAAUAACUGAGAGAAAUCUUAGCUAAUACCGCAUAACACUUACGAGUCAAAGCAGCAAUGCGCUUGGAGAGGAGUUCGCGGCCGAUUAGUUAGUUGGCGGGGUAAUGGCCCACCAAGACGAUGAUCGGUA